UUUAUAACAUAUAUGUUCAUCCAAGAAAGCCAAUAGUAAAUACUAAUACAUGACAUUAUUUGUAAUGUGAAAUUUCUUUAGUGUACAACAACAGUUGAAAUUUGACAAUUUAUUAGCCAAAUUAUAAAGAAUGCUGGAACACCAUAUUGCUGUAUUAGGAACUGAAAAUUACAACCUGUAUGGGUAUAAUAUAUGAACAUAGUGAAGCACUUUCGUUCUGAUCGUUGUUGCCAUUCAAACUAUAGUAAUAGCUUCUACUCUGUGCUCCAGAUAUUGUUAGAUAUGAAGAGCUUUCAGAGAAUAAUAAACCAAAGUUGUAUAGUUUCGUCCUUUGUUUUCGUCUAUUCAAUUCUCUCCAGAUUAUACUUCACGAUUUCCUCAAGUGCUGCUUGAAAAGGACUAGAUGGAAGGCAUUUUAGGUUCUGCAUUGCUAAAUCAGCUUUCUCCUUUGCCAAAUCUUGUGCUCGUUGAAUUCCCCCACAGCUUUUCACCAGAUUGAUGGCCUCCUCGAGAGAACCAGCAUCGUGAAAUUCUGAUUCGAUUAUAUUCCUAAGGUUUGGCUCUUUCUCUAAUGCAAAAAGUACUGGUGCAGUAAGGUUUCCCUUGGCUAAGUCACUUCCAGCUGGCUUUCCCAGUUGUGCGGCUGAUUGUGUGAAGUCCAAUAUGUCAUCAACAAUCUGGAACGAUAAACCAAGAUUCCUCCCAUAUUGAAACAUUUGUUCACUAAUAUCACUGCCAACUUCACUGAAAAUGGCAGCUCCUUUGGUGCUUGCAGCAAUCAAGGAGGCCGUUUUAUAGUAACUCUUGAGCAAAUAUUCAUCCAGUCCAACAUCACAGUCGAACAAGUUAGAGGCCUGCUUUAUUUCACCACUUGCAAAGUCUUUAAUAACCUGACUGAUGAGCUUUAUGACUUCAAGGUUUUCAAGGUUAGCUAGGUACCAGGACGACUGUGCAAACAUAAAAUCACCAGCCAGUACUGCCACUCUAGUACCAUAUAAUUGGUGAAUAGUCUCCUUUCCUCUUCGUGUGUCACUUUCAUCUAACACGUCAUCAUGUAUCAAGCUUGCAGUAUGGAUCAUUUCAAUGAUUUCAGCUAACCUUCUGUGAUUUGUGGUGAGACCUGCUUUAGUGUUCCUAGUGUCAAGGGCCACAGCAGAAAU
This 1160-nucleotide unclassified non-coding RNA is filed under the name Hevea brasiliensis (rubber tree). Lineage: Eukaryota; Viridiplantae; Streptophyta; Magnoliopsida; Malpighiales; Euphorbiaceae. The record is from RNAcentral.